RNAcentral lists this long non-coding RNA (3327 nucleotides) under Homo sapiens (human). RNAcentral describes it as "novel transcript". The record is from RNAcentral. Lineage: Eukaryota; Metazoa; Chordata; Mammalia; Primates; Hominidae.
UUGAAAAACAACUGCCAACUACAUUACAUAAAAGUUGAAAUGGACGUGGAGUGUGGUGGCUCACACCUGUAAUCCCAGCACUUUGGGAAGCUGAGGCAGGCAGAUCACGAGGACUGAAAAGUACCAGGAGAACAGUGGCCACGAGGGGCCCCAACAGAGGAAGAAACCAGUGAGUGAGCCCUCGUGGGAUCUGGUUGUUGAAAAGCGUGCAUCACCUCCCGCUUCAUUCUCUCUGUCUCUCCCGCUCCACCAUAGCCAGACGUGCCUGCUUCCACUUCGCCUUCUGCCAUGACUGUCCGUUUCCUGAGGCCUCCCCAGCCAUGCUUCCUGUACGGCCUGCAGAACUGCCCGGCCCGGGCCCCUCAGGAGCAGAACAGCCUUGGUGAGGUGGACAAGAGGGGACCUCGCGAGCAGACGCGCGCCAGCGACAGCAGCCCCGCCCCGGCCUCUGGGGAGCCCCAGGAGGAUCUGCCCUGGAGACUGGUAGUAAUGCAGGAACAGUCUGCAGGGAUUCUCUCUUGCUGCCUCAGUUGCUAGGGGAAGAGACUGGGCCUUAGCAGGUCUACCAGCCACAGUCUCUGCACGUUUCCAAGAGCAGCAGAAAAUGAACACAUUGCAGUCGAAUCCAGCGGGCAUUUUCUAGCCCCUACCUCCCAGGACCCUUUGUCUGCCUUUGACAUCUGUUACUUCCAAACUGAUACUUUCUCCAUGGAGUCUCUCUUUUCUUGGCUUUUAAAAAGAUUCGUCUGUCUGCAGACUCGUGAAUGACGUCUACCGCGUGUAUAAUCGACACCAGUAUCCAUUUGUUGUUCUUAACAUUUCUGUUGAUUCAGGUAACUUAAUAAAAAUGCAUGCAGCGGAUUUGGAAAAGCCCAUGGUAGAAAAGCAGGAUCAAUCCCCUUCAUUAAGGACUGGAGAAGAAAAAAGGGACGUGUCCAUUUCCAGACUGCGAGAGGCCUUUUCUCUUCGUCACACAACAGAGAACAAGCCUCACAGCCCAAAGACUCCAGAACCAAGAAGGAGCCCUCUAGGACAGAAAAGGGGUAUGUCGUCUUCUAGCACUUCAGAUGCCAUCUCUGACAAAGGCGUCCUGAGACCUCAGAAAGAGGCAGUGAGUUCCAGUCAGGGACCCAGUGACCCUACGGACAGAGCGGAGGUGGAGAAGGACUCGGGGCAUGGCAGCACUUCCGUGGAUUCUGAGGGGUUCAGCAUCCCAGACACGGGCAGUCACUGCAGCAGCGAGUGUGUGGCCAGCACCCCAGGGGACAGGGGCUCGCAGGAACAUGUGGACUCUCAGGAGAAAGCGCCUGAAACUGACGACUCUUUUUCAGAUGUGGACUGCCAUUCAAACCAGGAAGAUACCGGAUGUAAAUUUCAGGUUUUGCCUCAGCCAACUAAUCUCACAUCCCCAAACACAAAAGUGUUUUAAGAAAGAAGAAAUUCUUUCCAAUUCUGACAUUCGUCAAAAGUUAGUAAAUACUCAGAACGUGUCAGCUUCUCAGGUUGAUGUAGCUGUGAAAAUUAAUAAGAAAGUUGUGCCCCUGAACUUUUCUGAGUUCUUUAGCUAAACGAAUAAAGCAGUUACAUCAUGAAGCACAGCAAAGUGAAGGGGAACAGAAUUACAGGAAGUUUAGGGCAAGGAUUUGUCCUGGAGAAAAUCAAGCAGCCGAAGAUGAACUAAGAAAAGAGAUAAGUAAAACGAUGUUUGCAGAAAUGGAAAUCAUUGGUCAGUUUAACCUGGGAUUUAUAAUAACCAAACUGAAUGAGGAUAUCUUCAUAGUGGACCAGCAUGCCACGGACGAGAAGUAUAACUUCGAGAUGCUGCAGCAGCACACCGUGCUCCAGGGGCAGAGGCUCAUAGCACCUCAGACUCUCAACUUAACUGCUGUUAAUGAAGCUGUUCUGAUAGAAAAUCUGGAAAUAUUUAGAAAGAAUGGCUUCGAUUUUGUUAUCGAUGAAAAUGCUCCAGUCACUGAAAGGGCUAAACUGAUUUCCUUGCCAACUAGUAAAAGCUGGACCUUCGGACCCCAGGACGUCGAUGAACUGAUCUUCAUGCUGAGCGACAGCCCUGGGGUCAUGUGCCGGCCUUCCCGAGUCAAGCAGAUGUUUGCCUCCAGAGCCUGCCGGAAGUCGGUGAUGAUUGGGACUGCUCUUAACACAAGCGAGAUGAAGAAACUGAUCACCCACAUGGGGGAGAUGGACCACCCCUGGAACUGUCCCCAUGGAAGGCCAACCAUGAGACACAUCGCCAACCUGGGUGUCAUUUCUCAGAACUGACCGUAGUCACUGUAUGGAAUAAUUGGUUUUAUCGCAGAUUUUUAUGUUUUGAAAGACAGAGUCUUCACUAACCUUUUUUGUUUUAAAAUGAAACCUGCUACUUAAAAAAAAUACACAUCACACCCAUUUAAAAGUGAUCUUGAGAACCUUUUCAAACCAGAUGGAGCAUUGCUUGCAAAUUUUUUUUCUCUAUGUUUGCAUGCGCUCGUGUGUGAGCCAUCAUGCCUGGCUGAGUUAAGGAUCUUGCAACAGAGAGAUUAUCCUGGAUUGUCUGGGUGGGCCCAGUCCAUUGGGUGAGUCCUUCAAAGGUGGAGACCUUUCCCUGCUGGCCAGAGAGAGGCUGCCUUGCUGGUUUUGGAGAUGGAAGGAGGUACCACUAGUCAAGGAUUGCAAGCAGUCUCUAGAACAGGGAUUCCAACACUCCGGACACAGACCAGUAGUGGUCCAUGGCCUAUUAGGAAGUGGGGUGCACAGCAGGUUAGGGGCCGGCAAGCCAGCGAAGCUUCAUCUGUAUUUAUAGCCACUCCCCGUCGCUGGCGUUACCACCCGAGCUCCGCCUCCUGUCACAUCAGCGGUGGGCAUUAGAUUCUCAUAGCAGCACGAGCCCUAUUGUGAACUGCACACACGAGGGAUGUAGGUUGCACGCUCCUUAUGAGAAUCUGAUGCCUGAUGAUCUGUCACUGUCUCCCGUCACCCCCAGAUGGGGCUGUCUAGUUGCAGGAAAACAAGCUCAGGGCUCCCACUGAGUCUCUGUGAUGGUGAGUUGUAGAAUUAUUUAAUUAUAUGUUACAAUGUAAUAAUAGUAGAAAUAAAGUGCACAAUAAAUGCAAUGCACUUGAAUCGUCCUGAAACCAUCCCUCCCCGACCCCAAUCCAUGGAAAAAUUGUGUUCCGCGAAACCGGUCUCUGGUGCCAAAAAGGUUGGGGACCGCUUCUGGAAAAGCUGGAAAAGGCAAGAAAACGCAUUCUCUCCCUCAGCCUCUGGAAGGAACCAGCACUGUGGGACUAAUUUACAUACUGUAGGGUAAUAAAUUUGUGUUGCUUCGAACCA